RNAcentral lists this ribosomal RNA (253 nucleotides) under uncultured bacterium. RNAcentral describes it as "partial 16S ribosomal RNA". It matches the Rfam family "Bacterial small subunit ribosomal RNA", at positions 524 to 776 of the family's 1533-position model. The record is from RNAcentral.
UACGGAGGAUGCAAGCGUUGUCCGGAAUGACUGGGCGUAAAGCGUCCGUAGGCGGUAAUGUAAGUCUGCUGUCAAAGCGUCUGGCUCAACCGGAUAAAGGCAGUGGAAGCUACAUAGCUAGAGUAAGGUAGGGGUAGAGGGAAUUCCUGGUGUAGCGGUGAAAUGCGUAGAGAUCGUAAGGAAGACCAGUGGCGAAGGCGGGUCUCUGGAAAGUUCCUGACACUGAGGCACGAAGGCCAGGGGAGCAAACGGG